GACGAACCGUGCGAACGUUAUUCGGAAUCACUGGGCUUAAAGGGUGCGUAGGCGGGUUGCCAAGUCUGUGGUGAAAUCCUCCGGCUUAACCGGAGAACUGCCGUGGAUACUGGCGACCUCGAGGGGUGUAGGGGCUUGCGGAACUGUGCGUGGAGCGGUGAAAUGCGUUGAUAUGCACAGGAACUCCGGUGGCGAAAGCGGCGAGCUGGACACCUUCUGACGCUGAGGCACGAAAGCCAGGGGAGCGAACGGG
RNAcentral lists this ribosomal RNA (253 nucleotides) under uncultured bacterium. RNAcentral describes it as "partial 16S ribosomal RNA". It matches the Rfam family "Bacterial small subunit ribosomal RNA", at positions 524 to 776 of the family's 1533-position model. The record is from RNAcentral. RNAcentral also lists the same sequence under 1 other name.